AUGUCUUGCUGCGGAGGAAACUGCGGAUGCGGCACCGCCUGCAAGUGCGGCAACGGCUGCGGUGGCUGCAACAUGUACCCCGAGGUUGAGGCCGCCGGCGCCACCCUCCUCGUCUCCGCCACUGCCACUCACAAGGGGAGCUCCGGCGGCAUGGAGAUGGCGGCCGAGAACGGCGGCUGCGGCUGCACCCAGUGCAAGUGCGGCACCAGCUGCGGCUGCUCCUGCUGCAGCUGCUAG
RNAcentral lists this ribosomal RNA (237 nucleotides) under Triticum aestivum (bread wheat). Its description in RNAcentral is "partial small subunit ribosomal RNA". Lineage: Eukaryota; Viridiplantae; Streptophyta; Magnoliopsida; Poales; Poaceae. The record is from RNAcentral.